CCUACGUGAGGCAGCAGUGAGGAAUAUUGGUCAAUGGCCGGAAGGCUGAACCAGCCAUGCCGCGUGAAGGUCAGUGCCCUAUGGGCGUUAAACUUCUUUUGUGCGGGAGCAAUAAUGGUCACGUGUGGCCAGACGAGAGUACCGUACGAAUAAGCAUCGGCUAACUCCGUGCCAGCAGCCGCGGUAAUACGGGGGAUGCAAGCGUUUUCCGGAUUUUUUGGGUUUAAAGGGUGCGUAGGGUGGGAGGUAAGUUAGCGGGUAAAUGCCCCCGCUCAACGGGGGGAAGUGCCAUUGAUACUGCCUGGAUGGAAUGCGGAUGCCGUGGGAGGAAUGUGUGGUGUAGCGGUGAAAUGCAUAGAUAUCACACAGAACACCGAUUGCGAAGGCAUCUCACGAAUCCGCGAUUGACGCUGAUGCACGAAAGCGUGGGUAUCAAACAGGAUUAGAUACCCCUGUAGUC
This 460-nucleotide ribosomal RNA is filed under the name uncultured bacterium. Its description in RNAcentral is "partial 16S ribosomal RNA". It matches the Rfam family "Bacterial small subunit ribosomal RNA", at positions 338 to 795 of the family's 1533-position model. The record is from RNAcentral.